This 508-nucleotide ribosomal RNA is filed under the name uncultured bacterium. RNAcentral describes it as "partial 16S ribosomal RNA". It matches the Rfam family "Bacterial small subunit ribosomal RNA", at positions 355 to 872 of the family's 1533-position model. The record is from RNAcentral.
UGGGGAAUAUUGCACAAUGGGCGAAAGCCUGAUGCAGCGACGCCGCGUGCGGGAUGAAGGCCUUCGGGUUGUAAACCGCUUUUAAUUGGGAGCAAGCGAGAGUGAGUGUACCUUUUGAAUAAGCACCGGCUAACUACGUGCCAGCAGCCGCGGUAAUACGUAGGGUGCAAGCGUUAUCCGGAAUUAUUGGGCGUAAAGAGCUCGUAGGCGGUUUGUCACGCCUGGUGUGAAAGUCCAUCGCUUAACGGUGGAUCUGCGCCGGGUACGGGCAGGCUAGAGUGCAGUAGGGGAGAUUGGAAUUCCCGGUGUAACGGUGGAAUGUGUAGAUAUCGGGAAGAACACCAAUGGCGAAGGCAGAUCUCUGGGCUGUUACUGACGCUGAGGAGCGAAAGCAUGGGGAGCGAACAGGAUUAGAUACCCUGGUAGUCCAUGCCGUAAAACGGUGGAUGCUGGAUGUGGGACCCUUCCACGGGUUCCGUGUCGGAGCUAACGCGUUAAGCAUCCCCGC